This 476-nucleotide long non-coding RNA is filed under the name Lathyrus oleraceus (garden pea). Its description in RNAcentral is "Pisum sativum (pea) long non-coding RNA (PSAT_LNC024165)". The record is from RNAcentral. Lineage: Eukaryota; Viridiplantae; Streptophyta; Magnoliopsida; Fabales; Fabaceae.
AUUAACCGGUUACCAACGCGAAAAUUGGUCUUUCUGGUGCGUUGGAUGCAUUAUUUUGUGAAUGAAGUAUGCAAUGUCUUGGUUUUUUUUAAUUGUGUAAGUGAUUUUGUAGGGAAAACUUGGUUAUGGUUGGAUGAUGGAUGAGGAAAACUUAGUCAUGAGCAACCUUGACUUUGUCGCAUGAGACUUAAACAUAGGCAAACUUGGCAUGAUUCACCUUGAAGAAGAUUAGUGGCUUGGAGAUAAAGAUGGAAGCCAUGAAGAUGAAGAAAGGAAUAGGUCUAGGGUUUAGGAUUAGUGGUUGACUUUGGUCAACUGUUUGACCAAAAAGUCAAUAGUUGACCAAAGUCAACUGUAGGUUAAAAAGUGUAGUUUUUUGUAGGUUUUGAUUUUGUAUCUUUUGUGAUGUAAUAUGGAUCUUGAUGACUUGUAAUAAUAUAGCCUCUUUUCAAAUAAACUUGAAUUUCUUUUCCUCC